GGGAGCUUGCUCCUGGAUUCAGCGGCGGACGGGUGAGUAAUGCCUAGGAAUCUGCCUGGUAGUGGGGGAUAACGUCCGGAAACGGGCGCUAAUACCGCAUACGUCCUGAGGGAGAAAGUGGGGGAUCUUCGGACCUCACGCUAUCAGAUGAGCCUAGGUCGGAUUAGCUAGUUGGUGGGGUAAAGGCCUACCAAGGCGACGAUCCGUAACUGGUCUGAGAGGAUGAUCAGUCACACUGGAACUGAGACACGGUCCAGACUCCUACGGGAGGCAGCAGUGGGGAAUAUUGGACAAUGGGCGAAAGCCUGAUCCAGCCAUGCCGCGUGUGUGAAGAAGGUCUUCGGAUUGUAAAGCACUUUAAGUUGGGAGGAAGGGCAGUAAGUUAAUACCUUGCUGUUUUGACGUUACCA
This 410-nucleotide ribosomal RNA is filed under the name Pseudomonas aeruginosa. Its description in RNAcentral is "bacterial SSU rRNA". It matches the Rfam family "Bacterial small subunit ribosomal RNA", at positions 74 to 480 of the family's 1533-position model. The record is from RNAcentral. Lineage: Bacteria; Pseudomonadati; Pseudomonadota; Gammaproteobacteria; Pseudomonadales; Pseudomonadaceae.